CCACAACGUAACCAACUUUUCUUUCCCCAUUACAUUCGUUUUGGACUGCCUCAGGUUAAUCACUACUUUGUUGCUCCACACUUCCACGUCCAUCGCCUGAAGUCUCCCGGACCCUUGGCGAUUGCUGCUAACUAGCUCGCUGACCCGAAAUGCCCCAAAAAAGGCAAAACUAAAAACCACGGAAAACAACGUCACUUCAUAUCCUGAAAAACACACUGCAG
Non-coding RNA from Pelobates cultripes (western spadefoot toad), 221 nucleotides. The record is from the annotation of a GenBank genome assembly. Lineage: Eukaryota; Metazoa; Chordata; Amphibia; Anura; Pelobatidae.